UGCCCAUGGCAUGCAGAAGUUCCCAAGUCAGGCAUCAAAUCCAUGCCACUGCAGUAAUCAGAGUCACUGCAGGAACAACACCAGAUCCUUAACCCACUGAACCACAAGGGAGCUCCUCUGCUGUCUCUUCUUAUAGGGACACAAAUCCUACCCAAUCAGGACCCCAUUCUUAUGACCUCACUUAACAUUAAGUACUUCCCUAGAGACUCCACAUCCAAAUACAGCCGCAGCAGGGAUUAGCGUUUCAACAUAUAAGUAUUGAUGCCCCCCCCCCAUAUUCAGUCCAUAACACUGACAUAGAGUUAAGCAUUCAAUAAAUAUGAGGAUAAAAAUGAUAAAUAUUAUUAAAGGUGAAGAAACAGCAGCCAGAAGUUUUGGCAUGCCCAAGAGCACAUAGCAAGUCAGCAGCAGAGCUGAAACUCAAAGCAAAGUCCUCAGGCUGAAUCCAAUGGCCAUAGGUACCACAGAGGUACUUCCUCUGUCCCCCACAAGGUAGGCCCAGAGAUUGGAAGUGUUUGAGCUACGGGAAAAGUACAGCCCAGUUCCUGAAUUUGGUGGCAACAGGUGACUCCAGGUAACCUCAACUCAAGAACUGGCCCUCUGGUCCCUUUUCCCAUCGGAUGAGCCCCCGGCCACGCUGAGACUUCCUUCCCAUCUUGGAGUGAGGCACCCGGGCCCAGGCUGGCUGCAGGGCUGUGUCCAUGUGUGCAUGAGUGGGCUGUGGGUCUCACCCAAUCUGGUUAUAAACGGCCUCUUACCAGGCCCUUUACAACCAGACUCCCGCAUUUCCCAGAAUAAUCUCGCUCAUUACGAUGCCUGCAGACUUUUCAAGCCAGCUCAUUUUUCUUCCCUUUGUCUCAAAUUCCAAUACGCUGCCCUUUUCAAGAGAUUUCCGAGCGCGCUGUUCACAGCGCCCAUUCGGUGGCGGGGGGAAGGGGGGGCGGUGGAGAGAAGGGGGUGGAAGUGUCCCCAGAGGGUGAGUGGUAUAUCAGCCUUAGUUUAAAAAAAGAAAAAAAAAAAAAAGAUGAAGGAAAAAGCUUUGUCUGCUAAAUCUCCCCAUUUUGGAAUCAAAUGUUAUUUAAAAUUCAGGACAAAUUCUCAGCUCUCUGGCUGACAAAUUCCACACAAGCACAGAGGAGAAGCAAGAGGGAGAUGAGAGAGGUGAUGUGUGAGGUGUCUAAGGCUGGGUCAUUAAAUGUCCGAUAAGUGAGCACCUACUGUGUGCCAGGUCCUGUGCGGGCUGCCAGGGAUACUGGGAUAAUUAAAGCAGAUGCUAUGUCACCCGUGGAGUUUAAAGUCUAGUGAAGGAGACAGAUAGGACCACCUAGGCACCCACAUUCAUAAUUAUAACCAGAGCAUCUGUUCCAGAGGAAAAGUACAUGGGACUAGGAAAGCCUGUAACUUGGAUUUGGGAGAGUACGCAAGAGAGGCACCAGUUUUGGGACCUGCCAGGUGAGAAGGAGAGAAAAUUCCUUCAGGAUAAAAGGACAGCACAAGCAAAGCCCUGGAGCCAAAGUGCCUCAAAGUUCAGGAACCAGUGUCUGAAGAGCUGGCAGGACACCAGGUUCCUGGAGGCCCAGAGAGUGACUGGGAAGUGGAGAGGGGUGGACCUGGGGAUGCAGGCUAGUGAGGUUACGCUGGGUCUUGCAGCCACUGUAAGGCUCUUGGUUUUUAUCCUCAGAACAAGAUGGAGCUGCCAAAAGGUUUUAAGAGGAAGAGUAACAAGUAAGAUUUGUGGUUUGGAAGUUCCCAUCAUGGCGCAGAGGAAACAAAUACAACUAGGAACCAUGAGAUUGUGGGUUUGAUCCCUGGUCGCUCAGUGGGUUAAGGAUCCAGCAUUGCCAUGAGCUGUGGUGUAGGUCACAGAUGCGGCUCGGAUCUGGUGUUGCUGUGGCUGUGGCAUAGGCUGGUGGCUACAGCUCCGAUUCAACCCCUAGCCUGGGAACCUCCAUAUGCCGGGGGUGGGGCCCUCAAAAAAAAAAAAAAAAAAAAAAAAAAAAAAAAGAUUUGUGGUUUGCAAAAGUUACUCUGGCCACUCGGCAGGGAAUAGGCUGGAUCAAAGCACGGGAUGAAAGUGGGGACCCAACAAGAGAAGUUGGUGGCUUGGGCACCAGUAGAGGUGGUGGUAGCAAUAGAGAGAAGGGACAGAGUCUAGGGAAUUCUUCUGAUGAUGUCAUCCAGAUGAUAGCAAAAAUGGACACAAAGUCUUCCUCUCCCCGAAUCCAGGACACUGUGGUCCCUUGCCAUGUGGAUGCUACGUUCGGCCACAAGACAUUCCUUGGCCAAGGGACAACAGCAAACAAUGCAACAGAGAUUUAAACAUUGUCUGCACCUUGGAGCCCACUCUAUUCUUGCUGCUUUGGGGACCACAUGAUCACUAUGUGAAGAAGCAGGGCUAGUCUGCUAGAGAGAUGGGUGGAGUGGUCCCCUCGACUCCCCAGCCAACAUCCUGCAAAUUGCCCGGCAGGUGUGAUGCCAUCCUGGAUCACCCAGCUGCCAGCCAGCCAGCCAACCAGCUGAUCACAGCUACAUAAGUAAGCCCAGCAGGGGUCAACUGAACAUGCUUAGACCAGGACCACCUGAUUACCCAGAGAAUUGUGAGCUAACUAAAUGGAUGUCAUUUGAAGCCAUUAACUUUUGGAGGUGGUCGGCUAACUCAUAUACAUUCUGCUUUCUCUUGAUGGAUCAUAAGCUUAAGAGCAGGAACUUACUGGUCUUCUUUACCACCACUCUAUCCUCAGUGCCUAGAACAGUGCCAGACAAAUGGUAGAUACUCAAUGAAUAGGUAUUAAGUGCAUGCAUAUAUGAAUAAAUGAAUACUAUUUAUUUGGUUCCCCAGGGAAAGACAUGCUGUACCUGCCCCAUUAGCAAUUGAGACCAACACUUCUGGGUGGAAAUCAAGUCCAUAUUCAACCUUUAUGCAAGUCUUCAAUGUGCCGGGUUGGCAUAAUAUUAAAUACUGAGGACAAAGGGGAAAAGGCAUAUUCUCUGCAUAGAAGGAGAAUCCUGACUGGUGGAUGAGAUGGACACAGAAAAUAGCAACAACCUCUCCUGUUCUUUGUGCACUUACUAUAGUCCAAGCACUUUAAAAAGAGUGUUUCCUUCCAUCCUCAUAAAAACCAAAAGAGGAAGACGUAAUUGGUGUCCCAUUUACAUGGAUAAGAAAACUGAGGCACAGAGUAGUUAAAUGACUUGCCCCAUGGAAGAGAGCCAGCUUGAGGACUUUGCUCUAAGUGUGGUACUGGGAUCACAGAGUUGUACAAAGGAGGCAUUCAUGCUGCCCAGGGUGGGAAGGCAGUGGUAGCAAUGAGUCAGAAAACCUUGUGCAAAUAAGUUGACUCUAGAAGGAAGAACUAGAGUUCUCCGUGGGUGCAAAUACAGGAACAGCAUCCCAGGCUGAGAGCACAGAGUGGACUGAGCCUGGAGGCGUGGAGGUACAUGGUCUGCUUGGGGAGCUAUAAGGUGAAGAAGUGACCAGAAAGACAGGGCAAGAGGGAGAGGGGUGAGGCCAGCUGGGAGGGGUGAUGGGAAGCAAUGAUGGCUGCAAGGGGAGGCCAUGCCAUCUCAUGGGACCCCUCUGCCACCCAUCUCCCACUGAGGCUGCCUCUCAGCUGUUACCCCAGUAUCACCCUAGAUGGAGUUAAGACCUGGCUUCUGAUCCAAGCUUUCAUUCCUAACUGUAUGGGUUUGGGAAAUUAGAUCACUUGCCAACUUUGGGCCUAAGUUUCCCCAGCUGUGAACAGAAAAUGUAGGCAACAUCACAAGAAUUUCUCUGCAUUUAGUACCUAGUAUGCACCAGGAGGUGGCUGUCUCAUAGAUUUAGUGUAAGGAUUGCAUAGGUUAAUGCAUAUGGUGAUUAGCAUAGCGCCUGGUGCAGAGUAAGCACUCAAUACACAUUAGUCUUAACUGUUGCUGGUGUUAUUUCAGAGUAACCAUUUCAGAAUAACCCUGUGGGUGAGAGUGAAUAUCAGUGGCUCUGGACACACACUACUGGGAUUUAAAUCCCUGCUCUGCCACUUUCUUGCUGUGUGACUUUGAGAAAGUUACUUGCCAGUCUGAGCCUCAGCUUCCUUGUCUAUAAACUGGGGAUCCCAAUGAUGUCUAUCCCAUUGAUUGUUGUAAGGAUUAAAAGAGUUAAUGCUUAUAAAAUGUUUAACUCCUAGAACCUGGUUAUGGUUAGAAGCCCCAUUAUGCAGACAGCAAAGUUGAGGCUUGGAGAGGCCACGAAACUUGCUCCAGGGCAUACAUCUAACAAAUGGUAAGUCUGGGAUUUACCUGAAAAAAAUUCUAACUCCCUAUCCUGUGCUCCUAGCUGGUGUUCCAGAUGUAUCAGAAGCAUCUCCCAACGGCUAGGAUCCAGUUAAAAGUAUGACGGCCUUGGACGAAAGUCAUCGUAAAACUCCAGUAUGAAGAAUGACUAUUCCAGGAAAAAACAACAACAACAAAAAAAACCUUUUAAAUCCCCAGAGAGGUAAGAAUUAAUGUAUGUUCCUGAUAUACAAGCAUACCACAUUUCCAAGUUGGUUUUAUGAGGGAAAGCUCUAAACUUCUAUGAUUUGAAGGUGGUAAAUGGUAAGGAUGAGGUAUUAAACUUUGUGUGGGCGCUACUGCCUCAAAUCCUCUCUGGAAUGAGGCGAGGGGUAAAUAAACUCAUACCUAAGGAAGGGUGUGGCAACAGCCUUGGUCUGGGAGGGACAGCUGGUCCCCAUCCCAGCUCCAUCCCCAUCCUGCCCUGGGACUUGAGCAGGACACUUAACCCUCUCUGCAGCCACACUUCCCUGUCAGUACGGUGACCCCUAAUUUCUGAUCCUAACUGGGAAACUUGACAAAAGCGGAUGCUAGAAAUAAUCACCCCAGAACCACGGAUGUCAACUUUGUCCUGGCAACUCAGACAUGGGUGCCCUGCCUACCGAAGCCUGAAAUUACACCAAAAAUUUGUAAGGUUUUCCUACUCGGAUGUUUUUGGACAAAAAUCUGUUGCUGAGAACUGAUCUUAUUCAGGUAUUAGAAAUGCUGGGACCUCAUAGAAGAACGUAUUCAGUGAAACACAGUGAGUCAGGGAGAAAGCUAGUCUGCGUCUGUUCUGAGGGAAGCAGGACCAUGAUAAAUACAUGAAAACAAAAGAGGACGAGACAUCAUAAGGUAAUUCUCUGAAUCUCCAUGGUGCUCUCAUGAGCUGAUCCUGGGGCAAGCCACGCUAUUUCUCUCCAUUCAUCAGACAAAAAAAAAAAAA
RNAcentral lists this long non-coding RNA (5233 nucleotides) under Sus scrofa (pig). RNAcentral describes it as "lncRNA (ENSSSCG00060007298.1)". Lineage: Eukaryota; Metazoa; Chordata; Mammalia; Artiodactyla; Suidae. The record is from RNAcentral.